UUGGAUUCAGAGGUGGGGUUGUGGGUCGGGUGUGGCCCGGCAGCUUGUCUCCGUGUGCCGCUCCCAAUCAACCCGCGUUUGCCCCAGCCUCCUAUCGCACGGAAACGGAGUCCUGCUGGGGUCUCCUUAACUGGGGGUUCCAGCGCUUCCGCGCACAACGUGCGCUUACGGACCGUCCGUGGACGUUACUGUGAACAAAACAGCGUGUUCAAAGCAAGUGGCUUGCCUGCCCUGCAUGUUAAAGCAUGGAAUAACAAGGCAUCGACCACUCGGCGGUGCUUUUGUUGGUCUUUCCCUCCCGGUGGGAAUGCGCAGGCGUGCACACUGCCGGCCUUCUGGCCGGUCUGGGUGCCGUCUCUUCGAGAUCAAUAGGGGCAAACGGGGAGAUACCUAUUGUGGGGAGAGCGGUGAAAUGCGAUGACCCCCAUAAGAGGAACUUCAGCGAAAGCAGUUCUCAAGACUGCCUUCGUUAAUCAAGAACGAGACUGUGGGGAUCAAAGAUGAUCAGAUACCGUCGUAGUCCACUAGCGUAAACGAUGCCGACUCAUCAUUGGGGGG
RNAcentral lists this ribosomal RNA (558 nucleotides) under uncultured marine eukaryote. RNAcentral's name for it is "bacterial SSU rRNA". It matches the Rfam family "Eukaryotic small subunit ribosomal RNA", at positions 634 to 1060 of the family's 1831-position model. The record is from RNAcentral.